GCAAGUAUAGCUCAUUGGUAAAGCACGUGCCUAGUACCCACAAGUCCUGGGUUUGAUUCCCAGUACUCCCA
Molecule: transfer RNA, 71 nt
Filed under: Camelus bactrianus (Bactrian camel)
Lineage: Eukaryota; Metazoa; Chordata; Mammalia; Artiodactyla; Camelidae
Also listed under: 1 other name
Rfam family: tRNA
About the family: Transfer RNA (tRNA) molecules are approximately 80 nucleotides in length. Their secondary structure includes four short double-helical elements and three loops (D, anti-codon, and T loops).
Source: Rfam by way of RNAcentral